GGAUGAUUUGCCACAAAUGGGAGCCUUGUUGGCCUGUCCUUCGCUGUGUUUGUCAUCCAUUUAUUUAUGCUGGGCUUUCGGCAUGAAUUUUCAACAAAGUUAGCAAGGAAUUCUUGUUGGGUUCGCUUUUCACCUGCAGUAUUGUGCUCCUGUCUAAUCUCUAGAGUCGAUUCCCAUCACAAGUUGUAACGUGACAUGAUCUAUCCCUGCAAGAUCCGGAAAAUUCAAAGCUUAGAGAUUGGCUCGAGUUUCUGGUUGAACUGAUGAAAAUUUUAAUUGGAGUUCUUAUUCAAUCUGUUUAGA
Molecule: long non-coding RNA, 303 nt
Filed under: Populus trichocarpa (black cottonwood)
Lineage: Eukaryota; Viridiplantae; Streptophyta; Magnoliopsida; Malpighiales; Salicaceae
Description: long non-coding RNA (PTRI_LNC001028)
Source: RNAcentral